This 253-nucleotide ribosomal RNA is filed under the name uncultured bacterium. RNAcentral describes it as "partial 16S ribosomal RNA". It matches the Rfam family "Bacterial small subunit ribosomal RNA", at positions 524 to 776 of the family's 1533-position model. The record is from RNAcentral.
UACGGAGGGUGCAAGCGUUAUCCGGAUUUACUGGGCGUAAAGCGCGUGUAGGCGGCCUUGCAAGUCGGAUGUGAAAGCCCACGGCUCAACCGUGGAAGUGCAUCCGAAACUGCAUAGCUUGAGUCUCGGAGAGGAAGGUGGAAUGCUUGGUGUAGAGGUGAAAUUCGUAGAUAUCAAGCAGAACACCUGCGGCGAAGGCGGCCUUCUGGACGAUGACUGACGCUGAGACGCGAAAGCGUGGGGAGCAAACAGG